Molecule: long non-coding RNA, 2487 nt
Organism: Phasianus colchicus (ring-necked pheasant)
Lineage: Eukaryota; Metazoa; Chordata; Aves; Galliformes; Phasianidae
Source: Ensembl
ACGCGCAAGGGCUGGCGGGAAGGCGCGCUGCCACACACGGCGCCUCGUCCCCGCGCGGCGCCUCGUGAGGGGGUGAGGUGGAACUUUCUCCGCUGUGAGGGGGCUCUUUUCAGGACGAAUUCCUGACUGGCUGGGACGGGCUGCCCCCACGAGGCUCGGUGUCCCUCACACAGGAGAGCGCAGCCAACCGCCACGGGAGUUGCCUCCGAAACUCUCUCAGUGUGUGACCGUCACCCCUUCUCCGCCUCCCUGCGGUACAAACUAUUUCUCCAGCAUAAACAUACAAGUAACGUAAUCCUCACGGCCUGCUGCAUAAGGCUACCUGCGGCGGGACAGAGAAUAAUUAGUGAGAAUUUACUGGUGAUAGCAGGGAAGAUGACGUGGAGGUGAACGAAGCACUGAAAGCAUCGAGAGAAGGGAGAGGGCUGUGGUGCCGCUCCGCCGCCCGCUGCCGUGGCAACGCGGUGUAAACGAAGCGCGGCGGGCCGGCCGAGCCGCUGGGACAGGGACAGGGAUAUAGGGACAGGGAUAGCUAUAGGGACAGGGAUAUAGGGACAGGGAUAGCUAUAGGGACAGGGAUAUAGGGACAGGGAUAGCUACAGGGACAGGGAUAUAGGGACAGGGAUAGCGAUAGGGACAGGACGCGCUGCCCCGCCGCCCGCCCGCUGUGUGUGGAAUCCGUGCCUUUGCCGCGCUUCGCUGUGGAAACACACGGUUUCAGGACCUUAAAACAUCUAAGGACAGUAUGUCUGAAAAGCAGAAAAUUAAGAGGAGAAGCACAGAAGGUCGUGGAGCUGUUGUUGCUCUUCCAAGUGCAGAUAAGAUAGUGAAAGAAAUCUGUGAUUCAUACAAAGCUCUAGGAAAAAAUAGCCAAAAAACAUCAACGAGCAGACUGUGGCCAGAUAAACAAGGGGCACAUUGUCAAAGUAAAAAGCAGUUAACAUUACAGAUGGGACAACACACCUCUCUACCUUUCCUGCUGAAGAAAGAGAUCAUAAGGCAUGGCUUUGACUUCAGCUUUCUGCUACAGGUCUCAUGCCCAGAAUCCAACAUUCCAAAAUCUUUUAAGGAUAUGCAACAAAGGUUUAAUAUAGCAAUACUGGAAAACAGGAACAAGAAGUCUGAGUUCCAUUUGCCACCAGUGACACUUCAGCCUGUAAGAACAAUUCACCUUGCUCCUCUAGAUGAUAUUUUCAUCAAUAAGCACACCAAGAUCAGAAAUAUUUUGAAUAUUAUGAAGUCUAUUUCUCAGCCUAUAAAAUCAGCUGCUAAAUUUUAUCAGUAUCACUUAGGCAAUAUAGUAAUAAGACAAGCUGAAAAGUCUUCAGGUGUAAUUGUGGCUACUGUUUCUGAGAAGUUCACUCCAACAGAAGGCCUGUACUGCUUCAGCAAGAAUAAAUAUUAUGAGUACCCUAACAAUAAGAAAGAAGAAAUUGAAAACAAUUUGGAAUGGACAGAAGCUGAGGUAGCUGCCAAUACUGAAAAGAGGGACUGGAAGAAGUCCCAGUUUUCAGUGGCUUGUGAAAAUGUAGAUAUUAUGACCAAAGACAGUUUUUGUGAUGCUUGUCUUUUUUACCUGAGCUCAAAUAAUGUUGUGAAAAACUGUGGACUAUUUACAGCUCUGUGUCCUGUGUCAAAAAACACAGAUAUUUUAAGAGCUGGUGAGAAGGAAGAAAGAGAGGAGAAUUCCUAUAGAACUGGUAUAGAAGAAGACAUUACGGACAUAAUACUGCACUGUAGACCAUGUGAAGAUGCUGAGAGUGUACCCUUCAUGCUUGGUGAUUGUAAUUUAGAUUCUUCACGAAAAAAUGAAGUGAGUGAGUCCUGCCAUGUCUUGGAAGAUAAUUCUGUAGCUGCAGUAAUUCCUGGAGAAGAACUGCAUGAUUGUUCUGGAAAACAAACAGAAAAUAAUAUUUGUCUUCUCAAGUUUGAAAUGGAGAAUAAAGCAAUGUCAGAAGUGACUGCAAAAGGUCAAAAUGAGCUUGUUCCUGUUGUCCACGUUACUUUCUCUGAACAAGAACUACUUAGGAAACCACGCAUUGCUAAACAUCCUGCCAGAAAAAGGAGUACUGUUCGUAGCCUGCCUCCUCAUAUCAGUCAGAGCUUCAACAUUCUUGCUCGCAAAGACAAUGACAAAAGUGAGAUAAAGUUGAAUAGAAACAAGUGUUCAUCAAAAUCUAAAAUGAGUAGCAAGACAAGGACACCUGAAGGCUUAGUUAUUUCUGAUGAGACUUCCAUAAAACAUAAUACACAAAAGAGGAAUGCCAAGAGGCAGAUUUUUCCAUCUUUGCAACUGCCAUGCAUGGAUUCUGAGACUUUCCUGAAGUGUCAAAAAAAAAAAACCUCAAGCCAACAAAUGUAAUUUUCUUCAGAGUUCUCAGAAACUUAAAAAGCAAAGUUCUUCCUGCAGUUGUAAAAAUCUAGUUAUCUCAAAGAAACCUGUUACUCCCCUUUCUCUACAAUAUGCACAAUCUGCUUCAGAGUUUG